RNAcentral lists this non-coding RNA (75 nucleotides) under Acetobacterium woodii. Its description in RNAcentral is "c-di-GMP sequence". It matches the Rfam family "c-di-GMP-I-GGC riboswitch aptamer". RNAcentral also lists the same sequence under 1 other name. Lineage: Bacteria; Bacillati; Bacillota; Clostridia; Eubacteriales; Eubacteriaceae. The record is from RNAcentral.
AACGAUAAAGGCAAACCAACUGAAAAGUUGGGACGCAAAGCCAAGGGCCUGUAAAAUGGCAGCCGGCUACCGAAA